RNAcentral lists this non-coding RNA (89 nucleotides) under Pseudonocardia sp. RNAcentral describes it as "ZTP sequence". It matches the Rfam family "ZMP/ZTP riboswitch aptamer (pfl RNA motif)". Rfam says of the family: Previously known as pfl RNA. ZMP is also known as AICAR. Lineage: Bacteria; Bacillati; Actinomycetota; Actinomycetes; Pseudonocardiales; Pseudonocardiaceae. The record is from RNAcentral.
GGUGGUGGCCGCGACCGGCGAGGGUGGAGCACCACCGGGGAGCGGCCGACCGCACGUCUUUCGGAGCGUCGACCGCCUGGGUGCCCCGG